RNAcentral lists this transfer RNA (72 nucleotides) under Candidatus Omnitrophota bacterium. RNAcentral describes it as "Candidatus Omnitrophica bacterium (aquatic metagenome) tRNA-Arg". It matches the Rfam family "tRNA". From Rfam's summary of the family: Transfer RNA (tRNA) molecules are approximately 80 nucleotides in length. Their secondary structure includes four short double-helical elements and three loops (D, anti-codon, and T loops). The record is from RNAcentral. Lineage: Bacteria; Pseudomonadati; Candidatus Omnitrophota.
GCGCCUGUAGCGUAACGGAUAGCGCAGUGGCCUCCGGAGCCAUACGUACAGGUUCAAUUCCUGUCAGGCGCA